Molecule: ribosomal RNA, 252 nt
Filed under: uncultured bacterium
Lineage: Bacteria
Description: partial 16S ribosomal RNA
Rfam family: Bacterial small subunit ribosomal RNA
Source: RNAcentral
UGCGGAGGAUGCGAGCGUUAUCCGGAUUUAUUGGGUUUAAAGGGUGCGUAGGCGGUCCGUUAAGUCAGCGGUAAAAUUGCGGGGCUCAACCCCGUCGAGCCGUUGAAACUGUCAGACUUGAGUUGGCGAGAAGUACGCGGAAUGCGCGGUGUAGCGGUGAAAUGCAUAGAUAUCGCGCAGAACUCCGAUUGCGAAGGCAGCGUACCGGCGCCACACUGACGCUGAGGCACGAAAGCGUGGGGAUCGAACAGG